CCUACGGGUGGCAGCAGUGAGGAAUAUUGGUCAAUGGACGAGAGUCUGAACCAGCCAAGUGGCGUGAAGGAUGACUGCCCUAUGGGUUGUAAACUUCUUUUAUAUGGGAAUAAAAUGUUCCACGUGUGGGAUUUUGUAUGUACCAUAUGAAUAAGGAUCGGCUAACUCCGUUCCAGCAGCCGCGGUAAUACGGAGGAUCCGAGCGUUAUCCGGAUUUAUUGGGUUUAAAGGGAGCGUAGGUGGAUUGUUAAGUCAGUUGUGAAAGUUUGCGGCUCAACCGUAAAAUUGCAGUUGAAACUGGCAGUCUUGAGUACAGUAGAGGUGGGCGGAAUUCGUGGUGUAGCGGUGAAAUGCUUAGAUAUCACGAAGAACUCCGAUUGCGAAGGCAGUUCACUGGACUGCAACUGACACUGAGGCUCGAAAGUGUGGGUAUCAAACAGGAUUAGAUACCCGAGUAGUC
This 460-nucleotide ribosomal RNA is filed under the name uncultured bacterium. RNAcentral describes it as "partial 16S ribosomal RNA". It matches the Rfam family "Bacterial small subunit ribosomal RNA", at positions 338 to 795 of the family's 1533-position model. The record is from RNAcentral.